GGCCUCCUGAUGUUUACCACAGGCUGUGUUCUUACACUGACUGUACAGAAAGAGGAGACAAAGUAAACCUGUCCCAUAUACAUCUCAGUCCUGGUCCUGUGCCUGGUCUUUAUUGUGAAUGGGAAGACAUGG
RNAcentral lists this small nucleolar RNA (132 nucleotides) under Castor canadensis (American beaver). Its description in RNAcentral is "Small nucleolar RNA SNORA51 (ENSCCNG00000021818.1)". It matches the Rfam family "Small nucleolar RNA SNORA51". Rfam says of the family: ACA51 is a member of the H/ACA class of snoRNA that guide the sites of modification of uridines to pseudouridines. Lineage: Eukaryota; Metazoa; Chordata; Mammalia; Rodentia; Castoridae. The record is from Rfam by way of RNAcentral.